RNAcentral lists this transfer RNA (77 nucleotides) under Kiritimatiellia bacterium. RNAcentral describes it as "tRNA-Ile". It matches the Rfam family "tRNA". Rfam says of the family: Transfer RNA (tRNA) molecules are approximately 80 nucleotides in length. Their secondary structure includes four short double-helical elements and three loops (D, anti-codon, and T loops). Lineage: Bacteria; Pseudomonadati; Kiritimatiellota; Kiritimatiellia. The record is from RNAcentral. RNAcentral also lists the same sequence under 2 other names.
GGGCCUGUAGCUCAGUUGGUUAGAGCUGGAAACUCAUAAUUUCUAGGUCGUCGGUUCGAGUCCGGCCGGGCCCACCA